This 96-nucleotide ribosomal RNA is filed under the name Leccinum cyaneobasileucum var. brunneogriseolum. RNAcentral describes it as "partial 5.8S ribosomal RNA". It matches the Rfam family "5.8S ribosomal RNA", at positions 62 to 154 of the family's 154-position model. Rfam says of the family: 5.8S ribosomal RNA (5.8S rRNA) is a component of the large subunit of the eukaryotic ribosome. It is transcribed by RNA polymerase I as part of the 45S precursor that also contains 18S and 28S rRNA. The record is from RNAcentral. Lineage: Eukaryota; Fungi; Basidiomycota; Agaricomycetes; Boletales; Boletaceae.
GUAAUGUGAAUUGMAGAUUUUCAGUGAAUCAUCGAAUCUUUGAACGCACCUUGCGCCCCUUGGUAUUCCGAGGGGCAUGCCUGUUUGAGUGUCAUU